GAUGGGCUCGCGGCCUAUCAGCUUGUUGGUGGGGUGAUGGCCUACCAAGGCGACGACGGGUAGCCGGCCUGAGAGGGCGACCGGCCACACUGGGACUGAGACACGGCCCAGACUCCUACGGGAGGCAGCAGUGGGGAAUAUUGCACAAUGGGGGAAACCCUGAUGCAGCGACGCCGCGUGGGGGAUGACGGCCUUCGGGUUGUAAACCUCUUUCAGUAGGGAAGAAGCCUUCGGGUGACGGUACCUGCAGAAGAAGUACCGGCUAACUACGUGCCAGCAGCCGCGGUAAUACGUAGGGUACAAGCGUUGUCCGGAAUUAUUGGGCGUAAAGAGCUCGUAGGUGGUCUGUCACGUCUGCUGUGGAAACGCAAGGCUCAACCUUGCGCGUGCAGUGGGUACGG
RNAcentral lists this ribosomal RNA (401 nucleotides) under Brevibacterium sp. Its description in RNAcentral is "bacterial SSU rRNA". It matches the Rfam family "Bacterial small subunit ribosomal RNA", at positions 224 to 635 of the family's 1533-position model. Lineage: Bacteria; Bacillati; Actinomycetota; Actinomycetes; Micrococcales; Brevibacteriaceae. The record is from RNAcentral.